This 441-nucleotide ribosomal RNA is filed under the name soil bacterium 12V-13. Its description in RNAcentral is "bacterial SSU rRNA". It matches the Rfam family "Bacterial small subunit ribosomal RNA", at positions 24 to 480 of the family's 1533-position model. The record is from RNAcentral.
UCAGGAUGAACGCUGGCGGCGUGCUUAACACAUGCAAGUCGAACGAUGAUGCCCACUUGUGGGUGGAUUAGUGGCGAACGGGUGAGUAACACGUGAGUAACCUGCCCUUGACUCUGGGAUAAGCCUGGGAAACUGGGUCUAAUACCGGAUAUGACCUUCCAUCGCAUGGUGGUUGGUGGAAAGCUUUUGUGGUUUUGGAUGGACUCGCGGCCUAUCAGCUUGUUGGUGGGGUAAUGGCCUACCAAGGCGACGACGGGUAGCCGGCCUGAGAGGGUGACCGGCCACACUGGGACUGAGACACGGCCCAGACUCCUACGGGAGGCAGCAGUGGGGAAUAUUGCACAAUGGGCGCAAGCCUGAUGCAGCGACGCCGCGUGAGGGAUGACGGCCUUCGGGUUGUAAACCUCUUUCAGUAGGGAAGAAGCGAAAGUGACGGUACCU